CUCGGCUCCCGCUUCCUUUGACCGCCUCCCCCCCCCGGCCCGGCGGCGCCCGCCUCCUCCACGGCCACUCCGCCUCUUCCCUCCCUUCGUCCCUUCUUCCUCUCCCUUUUUUCCUUCUUCCUUCCCCUCCUCGCCGCCACCGCCCAGGACCGCCGGCCGGGGGACGAGCUCGGAGCAGCAGCCAGGUGGAGUUUUGCUCUUGUCGCCCAGGCUGGAGUGCAGUGGCGUGAUCUCGGCUCACUGCAACCUCCACCUCCCAGGUUCAAGCGAUUUUCCCACUUCAGCCUCCCGAUAAGCUGAGAUUACAGAGUUUAUUAACCACUUAACCUCUCAGAACUGAACAAAGACAACAUUGUUCCUGGAACGCCCUCUUUUUAAAAAAGAAAGCAUAACCCCUACUGUAGAACUAAAUGCACUGUGCAUGAAACUUGGAAAAAAACCAAUGUAUAAGCCUGUUGACCCUUACUCUCGGAUGCAGUCCACCUAUAACUACAACAUGAGAGGAGGUGCUUAUCCCCCGAGGUACUUUUACCCAUUUCCAGUUCCACCUUUACUUUAUCAAGUGGAACUUUCUGUGGGAGGACAGCAAUUUAAUGGCAAAGGAAAGACAAGACAGGCUGCGAAACACGAUGCUGCUGCCAAAGCGUUGAGGAUCCUGCAGAAUGAGCCCCUGCCAGAGAGGCUGGAGGUGAAUGGAAGAGAAUCCG
Molecule: long non-coding RNA, 707 nt
Filed under: Homo sapiens (human)
Lineage: Eukaryota; Metazoa; Chordata; Mammalia; Primates; Hominidae
Description: HSALNT0268334
Source: RNAcentral